Molecule: ribosomal RNA, 509 nt
Filed under: uncultured bacterium
Lineage: Bacteria
Description: partial 16S ribosomal RNA
Rfam family: Bacterial small subunit ribosomal RNA
Source: RNAcentral
GACGAACGCUGGCGGCGUGCUUAACACAUGCAAGUCGAACGGAAAGGCCCUGCUUUUGUGGGGUGCUCGAGUGGCGAACGGGUGAGUAACACGUGAGUAACCUGCCCUUGACUUUGGGAUAACUUCAGGAAACUGGGGCUAAUACCGGAUAGGAGCUCCUGCUGCAUGGUGGGGGUUGGAAAGUUUCGGCGGUUGGGGAUGGACUCGCGGCUUAUCAGCUUGUUGGUGGGGUAGUGGCUUACCAAGGCUUUGACGGGUAGCCGGCCUGAGAGGGUGACCGGCCAAGUUGUGAGGGGGGUCCGGCACACUGUCGGACAGAAGGCAGGGGUGGGGAAUAUGGCGCGGUGGGCGGGCGCCUUCGGCAGCCGCGCCGCGGGCGGGGUGGCGCGUUUCGGUUUGUACACCUCGUUCGACUGGGGCGAAGCGGCAGGGACGGUCAUGGGCAAAGAAGCACCGACUAACGACGUGCCAGCCGCCGUGGUAAGAGUCGGAAGAGCCAACGCCUGACC